UACGUAGGGUGCGAGCGUUAAUCGGAAUUACUGGGCGUAAAGCGUGCGCAGGCGGUUUUGUAAGCCAGAUGUGAAAUCCCCGGGCUUAACCUGGGAAUGGCAUUUGGGACUGCAAGGCUCGAGUGCGGCAGAGGAGACUGGAAUUCCUGGUGUAGCAGUGAAAUGCGUAGAUAUCAGGAGGAAUACCGAUGGCGAAGGCAGGUCUCUGGGCUGACACUGACGCUCAUGCACGAAGCGUGGGAGCAACAGG
This 250-nucleotide ribosomal RNA is filed under the name uncultured bacterium. RNAcentral describes it as "partial 16S ribosomal RNA". It matches the Rfam family "Bacterial small subunit ribosomal RNA", at positions 524 to 776 of the family's 1533-position model. The record is from RNAcentral.